This 329-nucleotide unclassified non-coding RNA is filed under the name soil metagenome. Its description in RNAcentral is "partial contains 5.8S ribosomal RNA, internal transcribed spacer 2, and large subunit ribosomal RNA". The stretch from base 1 to 120 matches the Rfam family "5.8S ribosomal RNA", at positions 35 to 154 of the family's 154-position model. The record is from RNAcentral.
GAUGAAGAACGCAGCGAAAUGCGAUAAGUAAUGUGAAUUGCAGAAUUCAGUAAAUCAUCGAAUCUUUGAACGCACAUUGCGCCCCCUGGUAUUCCGGGGGGCAUGCCUGUCCGAGCGUCAUUACAACCCUCAAGCUCAGCUUGGUGUUGGGCCCCGCCGCCCCGGCGGGCCCUAAAGUCAGUGGCGGUGCCGUCCGGCUCCGAGCGUAGUAAUUCUUCUCGCUCUGGAGGUCCGGUCGUGUGCUCGCCAGCAACCCCCAAUUUUUUUCAGGUUGACCUCGGAUCAGGUAGGGAUACCCGCUGAACUUAAGCAUAUCAAUAAGCGGAGGA